GACGAACGCUGGCGGCGUGCUUAACACAUGCAAGUCGAACGGUGAAGCGCCUUCCUUUUUGGUGGGUGUGGAUGAGUGGCGAACGGGUGAGUAACACGUGAGUAACCUGCCCCCUUCUUCUGGAUAACCGCAUGAAAGUGUGGCUAAUACGGGAUAUUCUGGGUCUGUCGCAUGAUGGGUCUGGGAAAGAUAUUGUUUCGGUGGGGGAUGGGCUCGCGGCCUAUCAGCUUGUUGGUGGGGUGAUGGCCUACCAAGGCGGUGACGGGUAGCCGGCCUGGGAGGGUGGACGGUCACACUGGGACUGAGGCACGGCCCAGACUCCUACGGGAGGCAGCAGUGGGGAAUAUUGCACAAUGGGGGCAAGCCUGAUGCGGCGACGCCGCGUGAGGGAUGGAGGCCUGCGGGUUGUGAACCUCUUUCGCCAGUGAAGCAGGCCUGCCUCGUUUGUGGGUGGGUUGACGGUAGCUGGAUAAGAAGCGCCGGCUAACUACGUG
RNAcentral lists this ribosomal RNA (494 nucleotides) under uncultured bacterium. RNAcentral's name for it is "partial 16S ribosomal RNA". It matches the Rfam family "Bacterial small subunit ribosomal RNA", at positions 28 to 507 of the family's 1533-position model. The record is from RNAcentral.